GCAGAGAACUUUCCAGAGAUGGAUUGGUGCCUUCGGGAACUCUGACACAGGUGCCGCAUGGCCGUCGUCAGCUCGUGUCGUGAGAUGUUGGGUUAAGUCCCGUAACGAGCGCAACCCCUAUCCUUAGUUGCUAGCAGUUCGGCUGAGAACUCUAGGGAGACUGCCGGUGACAAACCGAAGGAAGGUGGGGAUGACGUCAGGUCAUCAUGGCCCUUACGGCCAGGGCUACACACGUGCUACAAUGGUGCGCACAGAGGGCUGCAAACCCGCGAGGGGGAGCCAAUCUCACAAAACGCAUCGUAGUCCGGAUCGCAGUCUGCAACUCGACUGCGUGAAGUCGGAAUCGCUAGUAAUCGUGAAUCAGAAUGUCACGGUGAAUACGUUCCCGGGCCUUGUACACACCGCCCGUCACACCAUGGGAGUGGAUUGCACCAGAAGUGGUUAGUCUAACCUUCGGGAGGACGAUCACCACGGUGUGGUUCAUGACUGGGGUG
This 494-nucleotide ribosomal RNA is filed under the name uncultured Marinobacter sp. RNAcentral's name for it is "bacterial SSU rRNA". It matches the Rfam family "Bacterial small subunit ribosomal RNA", at positions 988 to 1482 of the family's 1533-position model. The record is from RNAcentral. Lineage: Bacteria; Pseudomonadati; Pseudomonadota; Gammaproteobacteria; Pseudomonadales; Marinobacteraceae.